This is a long non-coding RNA of Chinchilla lanigera (long-tailed chinchilla), 3946 nucleotides long. RefSeq lists it as uncharacterized. The record is from RefSeq and is a predicted model, not a curated record. The transcript is spliced from 3 exons. Lineage: Eukaryota; Metazoa; Chordata; Mammalia; Rodentia; Chinchillidae.
GAGGUCCCGAGUUCGAUUCCUGGUACCAAAAAAAAAAAAAAAGUGGUUAGAAAAAGUAAGCAUGACUGUAAUUCUAGCUCCCUGGGAGGCUGAGGCAGGAGGAUCACUGGUACCCACAGGUAAGAUCAGCCUGGCAACACUGCAAAGCCCCACCUCAAAAAUGGGAGGUAGAACACUUGGAAUGCCAAAGGCAUUGCCUUGUCCUUUAACCAGAACCAGCAGUCUUCAGGUCUAGCACGGCUGCGGUUUGCGGUUAUUACACCUUUAUCGGCACAGAGAGUGAGCAGUAGCCGCGUGUUGAAUCUGCUCACGGCAGCUCUGAGAGCAACACAGCAGCCCCUUUCCCGGAGCCUCCGCAUCCCAGUGCAGCAACAAUUACGUCCUGAUGUCUUCACAGCCACCGAGUAUAACCAGUCACUGUUGGCUCACUCACGUGUGAGGGAGUAACGUUUCGGGAAGGUUUUCACAAAGGAAGAUUGCCGUAGCCCUCCCUCCGCCAGUGCUCCCUGGAUUGCCGGCUGCACGUAAGGUGGAGGUCGCACGUGGGCCAGCUUUUAGGGCGAAGUGAAAUAAAAGUUUAUUACGGGAAAGAUACACAGACGCCAGCGGCAAGGACAGAUGUCUGGCCCCCAGCACCCCUGUCUGCGGUUGCACCCCCUGUGUGGCCCACAGGCUCCCUGCCUGGUGUCCUCUGCCUGUCCCCUCCUCUGUCCCACCCCAACUCAAGUCCCUGCAUGUCUGAGUCCACUCUGCAGCUCCUUGCUGUUUGUCCGGCCACCCCGCCUCUCUGAGUCUUCGCGUCUGUGUUUCCGCACACUCAUCUCGGGAGUGGGCCACAAGGUGGUGUGCUUCCUGACACCGGACGGCAAAACUGUCCACCCGGCUCUGCCUCGCUUUCGGACACAGUGCCUGAGACCCCGGGCCAGAAGAGCCAGUCUUCUCAGACGCUAGGAGCUGGCGGGGGAGGGGGGGCCCCGGGCUACCUGUUGGGCCCCUUGCCAGGAAGCCCAGCUGACCUAUGGCAGGAGAGAGGCUGCGGCCGUGGGGCAGCGGGCAGGGUCAGAGCUCCAGGUGGGCGCACGCAGCAGGCACCUGUCUAGCUGCUCCUGAGCCGAGGCCUUCCUCACAGACCAUGGUCUGUGAGCAGGUGACGUACCCAAGCUCAGAGCAAGGAAGCGCUGCUGAAGAAACAGCCCUGCUGGAGGGCGCUCGGCGGCAGCUGUCUGCCCCCUGCAGGAGGCCCUGGUGGGACUCCAGGACUGGAAGCAGCAAGAGGAAGUGUCUCACGCUGAAACUCAAGGGCCAGCUGGGAAGGCGACACACGACAGACAGCACUGCAGACUGUGAGCUGAGGCUGCUCUCACCACCAGGCAGCCUCCGCCUGAGGUAAACGGUUUGACCUCAGCUGUGCAGCUUUCCCUAGACCUGCUCCAUCCCUCAUCCCUGCGGACGCCUUCCUCCUCAUGCUCCUGCAGUGCUCGCCGGUGAUCGCUGUGUCCUCUGUGUGUAAGUGUGACACGAAAAGGUAAAAGGGCAAUGAGAGAGGAGGAGAUGUGUGGCCGAGGGAAGGGCGGACAUGGUUGAAAUGGUCAAAGCAGGUUCCAAGCAUGUGUGAGUCUGCCGGGAUGAAACCCACCAUCUGUAUAAGUAAUAAGCACUAGAAAUAUGUGUGAGUUGCCUCAGUUUCUCUCUCUUGGGAGCACUCACUCAGGGCAACUUGGGUUGGUGUCCACAGGCUGAGGUCACAGCCUGGGCCCAGAAGAAGCUGCUUUCUCUUUCCCUCUGAGGAAAGCCGUCCUAACACAUCCCGAAGGAGGCGCUGUGAACACCACUGCAGAGCAGGCGGUGAGCGCUGGCGCAGGGACACAAGUGGCGCCUGACGCUGAUGCGGACGCCACGAAUGCACCUCAGACGCUCCGAGGGCCGAAGACUCAGGCGCCCCCACUGCCGGAAGCCAAGUGCAUGAAUAUAACAGAAACGGCCUGUUUGCUGUCUUACUCUCUUAGCAGGAGGAAUACGCUUUUAAGAGGGCUUGUCAUGGAUUCUUAGCCAGAAGAGCGGAACACUGGGUCCCACCGACACAGCCGUGACUUCUCUACUGUAAAUUUUUACUUUAGCAUAAAUAGUAGCUGGCUGUGCGUCUCAGUACCUUUGCCUGAGGGACACAGGAAGCAGCCUGCGUGUUUACCUACUUCGUGCUAGGAGGACUCCGUACAAUGAAAGGCAAGGUCUGUGCACGUGUGCAAGGGUGUCCAACCAGGAUUUGCACUGACAUUAUGCUCCAUCUAGCAGGUUUGGCGUAUGUUUACCUGAGCAUCGCAGAGGGUAUAAUACACACACCGCUCUUGGAUUUGUUUUCUAAGAAGUUCUCUUUUGAUUUUUCUGGUAGAAGUAGCCCAGUUCAGUACAACAGUGCAUGAAAAAAUCAGACUUGCAAGUUUUGGAGGAGGUCAAAAGUGAGUCAUCAGGUUACUCAUGCAUGGAUGAUGAAGAUGAUCCAUUACGGUAAAUACAUGUUUUCGUAUCAGAUGAGAAGUGGGGGUGGAUGAUGAUGAUGAUGAUGACUCUGAUAUCACCCAUGUGAGCCAAAGCUCCUGGGACAGUGAAAUGGAGCAAGAACUGAUUGAUACAGUCACAGGGAACGCAGGGCUUCCUGAUUCAGAUGACAAAGCAGCAAUGUGAGCACAUACUUGACUAGUGGAAGUGUUGCGAGAGCUAUGUCCCAAAAUGUAGUGAGGGUCUCAGCAGGGGUGAAACCUACUGGAAUGCCAGCACUGCUGUUCGAUGUUAGAAAUCGUAAUGGACAGAAUGCUACAAGAUGCUGUGAAAUACCAAAGGCUGAGGUACAAGUAAAACAUUGUGUGUGCACCAAUAGUCAUAUUAUAUUUAUUAUGACACCUCACCAGCUGAACUGAGAGCAUUCAUGGGUCUGCCGUACUUAGCACCAAUUUCUUCUGGUGAUCACAGGAAUGUAAAAGAUUUAUGGAAAAAUAAUGGGUCAAAAUAUGGCAUAAAAAUGUAUGCCCUGUAGGUGAGAAUACUGAUUAUGCUUCCAGUUUAGACAUUUGUCCUGGAGCGCAGCCGCUGGGUCCUUCUUUGUAUAAUAAACAUUGAAUGGUGUUGCUCCCAUCUCCCAAACAAAUCAGAGUGUGACCGUCGACAAUCGGUUUACUGAUCUCGCAUGGUGACCUUCACUGACAGAGCACAAGGUGACCAGCGCUGGAACUGUGCACAGGAACAAAGCAGAAAUCCCAAAUGAAGUGUUGCGGUUUCAAAACAGAGAGUUGUAUAGUACAAUUUUUGACUUUCAGGAAGAUAUAACAUUGGCCGCAUAUAUGCUAAAGAAAAGCAAACUGAUACUGCUGAUGUCAGCAUUUCACCAUGAUGGAAAUGCUGAUAGGGAAACCUCGACAAAACGGAAGCCUGAGAUUCAAACUUUCUACAACAACACCAAAGAAGGAGUAGAUACUGUUGAUGAGUUAUAUAUGAUGUCACUCUAAGCAAAAAGCAUUGGCCAAUGGUUGUGUUUUACUAGGCCCUAAACAUGUGUGACAUUAAUAGUUUGAUAGUUUACAAGGAAAAAAUAACAAGUGCAAAAUACCAUGAAGAAAUUUUCUUAGAGAAUUGGGGCUGGAGUUCAUAAGAGAACAUUUCCAGCAGAGGAAAACCAAAAUAUUUCUGCCCAGGGAACGACACACAAAAAUUGUGGAGUGCACUGGUGAGCCGACAGGUGAACAGGCAGGUGCAGCACCCCAAAGACCUACCACGGCAACAGGAAAACACAAAAGAUGUCAGCUGAGUCCUACAAGAAAGGACAGGAAAACAAGACACAGGUGCUGUCAGUGUGAGUGAUGCUUGUGUACGGAAGAUGCAGUUUUCAUGUGUGAAGACUGCCGUGGGUGCGACAGUUGAAGCAAAGAUUUUUUUUUCCGCUACCAAGAAUAGA